UACAGAGGGUGCGAGCGUUAAUCGGAAUUACUGGGCGUAAAGCGCGCGUAGGCGGCUUUGCAAGUCGGGUGUGAAAUCCCCAGGCUUAACCUGGGAACUGCAUUCGAGACUGCAUUGCUAGAGUAUGGGAGAGGGAAGUGGAAUUUCCGGUGUAGCGGUGAAAUGCGUAGAUAUCGGGAGGAACACCAGUGGCGAAGGCGACUUCCUGGUCUGUUCUUGACGCUGAGGCGCGAAAGCUAGGGUAGCAAACGGG
This 253-nucleotide ribosomal RNA is filed under the name uncultured bacterium. RNAcentral's name for it is "partial 16S ribosomal RNA". It matches the Rfam family "Bacterial small subunit ribosomal RNA", at positions 524 to 776 of the family's 1533-position model. The record is from RNAcentral.